RNAcentral lists this ribosomal RNA (440 nucleotides) under uncultured bacterium. Its description in RNAcentral is "partial 16S ribosomal RNA". It matches the Rfam family "Bacterial small subunit ribosomal RNA", at positions 338 to 795 of the family's 1533-position model. The record is from RNAcentral.
CCUACGGGAGGCAGCAGUGGGGAAUAUUGCACAAUGGGGGAAACCCUGAUGCAGCGACGCCGCGUGAGUGAAGAAGUACUUCGUUAUGUAAAGCUCUAUCAGCAGGGAAGAAAAUGACGGUACCUGAGUAAGAAGCCCCGGCUAACUACGUGCCAGCAGCCGCGGUAAUACGUAGGGGGCAGGCGUUAUCCGGAUUUACUGGGGUGAAAGGGAGCGUAGACGGCAGUGCAAGUCUGGAGUGAAAGGCGGGGGCUCAACCCCCGGACUGCUCUGGAAACGGUACGGCUGGAGUGCAGGAGAGGUAAGUGGAAUUCCUAGUGUAGCGGUGAAAUGCGUAGAUAUUAGGAGGAACACCAGUGGCGAAGGCGGCUUACUGGACUGUAACUGACGUUGAGGCUCGAAAGCGUGGGGAGCAAACAGGAUUAGAUACCCCAGUAGUC